Molecule: ribosomal RNA, 83 nt
Filed under: Miscanthus sinensis (eulalia)
Lineage: Eukaryota; Viridiplantae; Streptophyta; Magnoliopsida; Poales; Poaceae
Description: 5.8S rRNA
Rfam family: 5.8S ribosomal RNA
About the family: 5.8S ribosomal RNA (5.8S rRNA) is a component of the large subunit of the eukaryotic ribosome. It is transcribed by RNA polymerase I as part of the 45S precursor that also contains 18S and 28S rRNA. Functionally, it is thought that 5.8S rRNA may be involved in ribosome translocation.
Source: RNAcentral
CACAUGACUCUCGGCAACGGAUAUCUCGGCUCUCGCAUCGAUGAAGAACGUAGCAAAAUGCGAUACAUGGUGUGAAUUGCAGA